GCAAAAUAAUGAAUGCUGUGACAGGUCUCAAGGGCCAUUCUCAGUGACAAUAAAGCCUGAAGCUACAGAAAAAAGCAGUUUGUUCAAGACAGACCCAGAUCUAACAUUUCUUUUGGAAGGAGCAAGCAGCAAGUUAAGAUCAAAAUGAGUGCUUUGAGAAGAGUGGAUUACUACUAUUACUACACAUUCCCCGCCAUGAUGGACAAUUUCACAAUAGUCCCAAGGAAAGCUGCCAGUCAUCCAUAUACUGAAACUUCCAAAACUGAACCAAAGAAUUAAGUUUGACUAAGAAUGACUGAAGGAUUCUUUGAUAUUGGAAAAUAUCUAAUAAAGCAUCAUACUCUGGUUAUUAACUACUGUAAUCAUGCAUUUGAGAACUGACAAAAUCUUCACCUGUGUAAGAAAAAAUAAAAUGAAACAAUAAAGCAGGGAUUUAUGUUUGCUCAGCUAAGAAGUACCUGUGCGACCGUCUGUUCUAUUCUACAUACAAACCUAAUUUUACUCAUCACAGAUUCAAGCCUCCUAUAUACCAAACUCCCUUGUCCCCCAUAC
Long non-coding RNA from Heterocephalus glaber (naked mole-rat), 552 nucleotides. Lineage: Eukaryota; Metazoa; Chordata; Mammalia; Rodentia; Bathyergidae. The record is from Ensembl.